UAGAGGACGGGUGAAGUCUAAAGGGUGUCUAGUCGAGGACGGGUGAAGUCUAAAGGGUGUCUAGUCGAGGACGGGUGAAGUCUAAAGGGUGUCUAGUAGAGGACGGGUGAAGUCUAAAGGGUGUCUAGUCGAGGACGGGUGAAGGCUACGGGGUGUCUAGUCGAGGACGGGUGAAGUCUAAAGGGUGUCUAGUCGAGGACGGGUGAAGUCUAAAGGGUGUCUAGUCGAGGACGGGUGAAGGCUACGGGGUGUCUAGUAGAGGACGGGUGAAGUCUAAAGGGUGUCUAGUCGAGGACGGGUGAAGUCUAAAGGGUGUCUAGUCGAGGACGGGUGAAGUCUAAAGGGUGUCUAGUAGAGGACGGGUGAAGUCUAAAGGGUGUCUAGUAGAGGACGGGUGAAGUCUACGGGGUGUCUAGUCGAGGACGGGUGAAGUCUAAAGGGUGUCUAGUCGAGGACGGGUGAAGUCUAAAGGGUGUCUAGUCGAGGACGGGUGAAGGCUACGGGGUGUCUAGUCGAGGACGGGUGAAGGCUACGGGGUGUCUAGUAGAGGACGGGUGAAGUCUAAAGGGUGUCUAGUCGAGGACGGGUGAAGUCUAAAGGGUGUCUAGUAGAGGACGGGUGAAGGCUACGGGGUGUCUAGUCGAGGACGGGUGAAGGCUACGGGGUGUCUAGUCGAGGACGGGUGAAGUCUAAAGGGUGUCUAGUCGAGGACGGGUGAAGGCUACGGGGUGUCUAGUCGAGGACGGGUGAAGGCUACGGGGUGUCUAGUCGAGGACGGGUGAAGGCUACGGGGUGUCUAGUAGAGGACGUGGUGAAGGCUACGGGGUGUCUAGUCGAGGACGUGUGAAGGCUACAGGGUGUCUAGUAGAGGACGGGUGAAGGCUACGGGGUGUCUAGUAGAGGACGGGUGAAGGCUACGGGGUGUCUAGUCGAGGACGGGUGAAAUCUACGGGGUGUCUAGUAGAGGACGGGUGAAGUCUACGGGGUGUCCAGUAGAGGACGGGUGAAGGCUACGGGGUGUCCAGUCGAGGACGGGUGAAGGCUACGGGGUGUCUAGUAGAGGACGUUGUGAAGUCUACGGGGUGUCUAGUCGAGGACGGGUGAAGGCUACGGGGUGUCUAGUCGAGGACGUUGUGAAGGCUACGGGGUGUCCAGUCGAGGACGGGUGAAGGCUACGGGGUGUCUAGUCGAGGACGGGUGAAGGCUACGGGGUGUCUAGUCGAGGACGUUGUGAAGUCUACGGGGUGUCUAGUAGAGGACGUGGUGAAGGCUACGGGGUGUCCAGUCGAGGACGUUGUGAAGUCUACGGGGUGUCCAGUAGAGGACGGGUGAAGGCUACGGGGUGUCCAGUCGAGGACGGGUGAAGGCUACGGGGUGUCUAGUCGAGGACGUUGUGAAGUCUACGGGGUGUCCAGUAGAGGACGGGUGAAGGCUACGGGGUGUCUAGUCGAGGACGUUGUGAAGUCUACGGGGUGUCUAGUAGAGGACGGGUGAAGGCUACGGGGUGUCUAGUAGAGGACGGGUGAAGG
This 1529-nucleotide long non-coding RNA is filed under the name Salmo salar (Atlantic salmon). Its description in RNAcentral is "lncRNA (ENSSSAG00000114241.1)". Lineage: Eukaryota; Metazoa; Chordata; Actinopteri; Salmoniformes; Salmonidae. The record is from RNAcentral.